UACGGAGGGUGCAAGCGUUAUUCGGAUUUACUGGGCGUAAAGCGCACGUAGGCGGAUUUGCAAGUCAGAUGUGAAAGACCAGAGCUUAACUCCGGAAUUGCAUUUGAUACUGCUUAUCUUGAGUAUGGUAGAGGGGGGUGGAACUCCCGGUGUAGAGGUGAAAUUCGUAGAUAUCGGGAAGAACACCAGAGGCGAAGGCGACCCCCUGGGCCAUUACUGACGCUAAGGUGCGAAAGCGUGGGGAGCAAACAGGAUUAGAUACCCUGGUAGUCCACGCUGUAAACGAUGAAUACUAGGUGUGGGAGGUAUAAACUCCUUCCGUGUCGCAGCUAACGCAUUAAGUAUUCCGCCUGGGAAGUACGGCCGCAAGGCUG
RNAcentral lists this ribosomal RNA (374 nucleotides) under uncultured prokaryote. Its description in RNAcentral is "bacterial SSU rRNA". It matches the Rfam family "Bacterial small subunit ribosomal RNA", at positions 524 to 896 of the family's 1533-position model. The record is from RNAcentral.